Molecule: ribosomal RNA, 657 nt
Filed under: Lysobacter sp.
Lineage: Bacteria; Pseudomonadati; Pseudomonadota; Gammaproteobacteria; Lysobacterales; Lysobacteraceae
Description: bacterial SSU rRNA
Rfam family: Bacterial small subunit ribosomal RNA
Source: RNAcentral
UUUGUGGGGGAUAACGUAGGGAAACUUACGCUAAUACCGCAUACGACCCCGCUCUUAGCGGAACGGGGUGAAAGUGGGGGACCUUCGGGCCUCACGCAGAGAGAUGAGCCGACGCCGGAUUAGCUAGUUGGCGGGGUAAAGGCCCACCAAGGCGACGAUCCGUAGCUGGUCUGAGAGGAUGAUCAGCCACACUGGAACUGAGACACGGUCCAGACUCCUACGGGAGGCAGCAGUGGGGAAUAUUGGACAAUGGGCGCAAGCCUGAUCCAGCCAUGCCGCGUGUGUGAAGAAGGCCUUCGGGUUGUAAAGCACUUUUGUCCGGAAAGAAAUCCUUCGAGUUAAUACCUCGGAGGGAUGACGGUACCGGAAGAAUAAGCACCGGCUAACUUCGUGCCAGCAGCCGCGGUAAUACGAAGGGUGCAAGCGUUACUCGGAAUUACUGGGCGUAAAGCGUGCGUAGGUGGUUCGUUAAGUCUGAUGUGAAAGCCCUGGGCUCAACCUGGGAAUGGCAUUGGAUACUGGCGACCUAGAGUGCGGUAGAGGGGUGCGGAAUUCCCGGUGUAGCAGUGAAAUGCGUAGAUAUCGGGAGGAACAUCCGUGGCGAAGGCGGCACCCUGGACCAGCACUGACACUGAGGCACGAAAGCGUGGGGAGCAA